ACUCCUUCUAAAGCUAAAUAUCACCACGAGACCGAUAGCGAACAAGUACCGUGAGGGAAAGUUGAAAAGCACUCUGAAUAGAGAGUCAAAAAGUACGUGAAACUGCCUAGGGCUCAAGCCCGUUGAACUCGAUUAUCCGAGCGGAGACAUUCACCUGCGGUUGGCCGGCGACGGCACGGCCGCAGGGCACUUGUCUCUCGCACUAGCCAAGAGGACACUGCGAUCCAUUACGAAACAGCUUUCGCGCCGCAAGGCGCAAGGUCGCCCGACAACUGCCCCCUGGUGCUGGUUGCUUGCCCCACAGUAGCGACGCUCAGUUCUGAAGGCCUGUGCCGCGAGGUGGGGCUUACUGCACGUGGUGUUCUAGCAGUCGGGCGCGUGAUGGAUUCCCCCGGACACCGGGUGGUCUUCCCGUAAGGGGCCACCGGACUGUCGAUCGGCAGUGAAAGAAUCGAGGUACCUUCGGGACCCGUCUUGAAACACGGACCAAGAAGUCUAUCUUGCGCGCGAGCCAAUGGUCGUCCUCCGGAGCACCAAAGGCGCAGAAAACAUAACUUGAGUUGUGCGGGAUUACGGGCGCGGCUCUCUGCUCGUCCCUCCAUCCCCGGGUGUUGUAAUCGGCAUGCGGCUACCGGGACCMAGGCUUCACGGCCCCCGGCACCGUGCCACAACAUACCGUGAGUGUGCAGGAUGUGACCCGAAAGAUGGUGAACUAUGCCUGAUCAGGUUGAAGUCAGGGGAAACCCUGAUGGAGGACCGAAGCAGUUCUGACGU
Molecule: ribosomal RNA, 774 nt
Filed under: Aedes albopictus (Asian tiger mosquito)
Lineage: Eukaryota; Metazoa; Arthropoda; Insecta; Diptera; Culicidae
Description: eukaryotic LSU rRNA
Rfam family: Eukaryotic large subunit ribosomal RNA
Source: RNAcentral